UUAGGGAAUAUUGGGCAAUGGAGGCAACUCUGACCCAGCCAUGCCGCAUGCAGGAAGACGGUCCUCUGGAUUGUAAACUGCUUUUGAAUGGGAAGAAACGCACUUUUGCGAAAGUGUUUGACGGUACUAUUAGAAUAAGCACCGGCUAACUCCGUGCCAGCAGCCGCGGUAAUACGGAGGGUGCAAGCGUUAUCCGGAUUUAUUGGGUUUAAAGGGUGCGUAGGCGGCUUAAUAAGUCUGGGGUUAAAGGCGGCAGCUUAACUGUACGCAUGCCCUGGAAACUGUUGAGCUUGAGUGACCUGGAGGUAGCUGGAAUUCCCUGUGUAGCGGUGAAAUGCAUAGAUACGGGGAGGAAUACCGAUUGCGAAGGCAUGUUACUACGAGUAAACUGACGCUGAUGCACGAAAGCGUGGGGAUCAAACAGGAUUAGAUACCCUUGUAGUCC
This 445-nucleotide ribosomal RNA is filed under the name uncultured bacterium. RNAcentral's name for it is "partial 16S ribosomal RNA". It matches the Rfam family "Bacterial small subunit ribosomal RNA", at positions 354 to 796 of the family's 1533-position model. The record is from RNAcentral.